GAAUGUCAAAUUUCUAGUAUGAGAAAUUAACGAUUUAAGUCCUUCUUAAAUGAGGCCAUUUACCCAUAGAGGGUGCCAGGCCCGUAUAACGUUAAUGAUUACUAGAUGGCAUUUCCAAAGAGUCGUGUUGCUUGAUAGUGCAGCACUAAGAGGGUGGUAAACUCCAUCUAAAACUAAAUAUAACCAUGAGACCGAUAGUAAACAAGUACCGUGAGGGAAAGUUGAAAAGAACUCUGAAUAGAGAGUUAAAUAGUACGUGAAACUGCUUAGAGGUUAAGCCCGAUGAACCUGAAUAUCCGUUAUAGAAAAUUCAUCAUUAUGAUUUUAGUAUUACAAAUAUUAAAAUAAUGUUGUGCAUUUUUUCUAUUGAGGACAUUGUAAUCUAUUAACAUAAAAAUUUAAUUUAUCAUAAGAUCAGUAUGCGAAAGUUUAUUCACAUUAUUUUGCUUGCAAUUUAACAUAGAAUAAAUGCUCUGAUUUGAUAAAGUGUUGAUAGAUUUAUAACAUAUAGUGCUUAAAUAUUUAUAUUUUAUAGUAGCAUAUUAAUUUUUAAUUUUUAUGUUUACUAUAUGCACUUAUAUGAUUAACAAUGCGAAAGAUUCAGGAUACCUUCGGGACCCGUCUUGAAACACGGACCAAGGAGUCUAACAUAUUUGCAAGUUAUUGGGAAUAAAAACCUAAUAGCAUAAUUAACAUAACUUAAUAAUGGGAUUAGUUUUUAGCCUAUUUAUAGUCUAUUAAUUCAAUCCCGGGGCGUUCUAUAUGGUUAUGUAUAAUAAUAUUUAUAUUAUUUAUACCUCUAACUAGAACGUACCUUGAGCAUAUAUGCUGUGACCCGAAAGAUGGUGAACUAUACUUGAUCAGGUUGAAGUCAGGGGAAACCCUGAUGGAAGACCGAAACAGUUCUGACGUGCAAAUCGAUUGUCAGAAUUGAGUAUAGGGGCGAAAGACCAAUCGAACCAUCUAGUAGCUGGUUCCCUCCGAAGUUUCCCUCAGGAUAGCUGGUGCAUUUAAAAAUUGUGUAAAAUAAUCUUAUCUGGUAAAGCGAAUGAUUAGAGGCCUUAGGGUCGAAACGAUCUUAACCUAUUCUCAAACUUUAAAUGGGUAAGAACCUCACCUUUCUUGGUAUGAAGGUUGUGGUUGUGAUAUAAUGUGCCCAGUGGGCCACUUUUGGUAAGCAGAACUGGCGCUGUGGGAUGAACCAAACGUAAUGUUACGGUGCCCAAAUUAACAACUCAUACAGAUACCAUGAAA
This 1254-nucleotide ribosomal RNA is filed under the name Nemorilla floralis. Its description in RNAcentral is "eukaryotic LSU rRNA". It matches the Rfam family "Eukaryotic large subunit ribosomal RNA", at positions 156 to 1219 of the family's 3401-position model. Lineage: Eukaryota; Metazoa; Arthropoda; Insecta; Diptera; Tachinidae. The record is from RNAcentral.